AUGUUAGCUGGUUUAAUCAGAAAACCUCCUGAAUCAUCAAUGGUCGCCGCAAACAAUCCCUGCACUGGUGGGCGACCAUUGCCCCAGAUACAAGUGGAGCAAACUCCUCGUACCGAAGACUAUCCGCGACGACCUAGAAAGCAGCCCAUGGCUAACCUAGGCUCUGAAGAGAGAAGUGAUUCAUCCGAUUCUCAGGGGCCGGCAGCUCCCAGGCCUGAUGAGGAUCUGUACUACAAUCCUGAAAGAAAGCCGUAUGCUUUGGAAGAAGCUUGUACAGUUUGGGAAGGGGUUUUGAUUGAUCAAAAAGAAGAAUCUACUUCAACCGAUAUGCCCUUAGGCACGGCCAUACAUAACAUAGAAAUCACACUUGGAAAGGGUGGACAAUUAGCUAGAGCAGCAGGUGCUGUAGUGAAACUGAUUGCAAAAGAGGGGAAAUCGGCCACAUUAAAAUUACCUUCUGGGGAGUAUAUUUAUAUAAUAUUCAUAAGGUCAGUAUAUGUAUACAUUAUAUGUAUAGUAAUACUAGCGGGGAUUGUGGGACAAAAAAUAAAUCCACUUGGUUUCAGACUUGGUGCAACCCAAGGUCAUCAUUCUCUUUGGUUUGCACAACCAAAAAAUUAUUCUAAGGAACUACAAGAAGAUCAAAAAAUACGAAAUUGCAUCAAGAAUUAUGUACAAAAAAAUAUGAAAAUAUCUUCUAGUGUCGAGGGGAUUGCAUGGAUAGAGAUUAAAAAAAAAAUCGACUUGAUUCAAGUCAUAAUCUAUAUGGGAUUCCCAAAAUUAUUAAUAGCCCCCAAAAAAUGGAAGAAUUACAGAUGAAUGUAAAAAAGGAACUUAAUUCGAUGAACCGGAAACUUAACAUUGCUAUUACAAGAAUAGCAAAUCCUUAUGGACACCCUAAUAUUCUAGCAGAAUUUAUAGCCGGACAAUUAAAAAAUAGAGUUUCAUUUCGCAAAGCAAUGAAAAAGGCUAUUGAAUUAACUGAACAGGCAGGUACAAAAGGAAUUCAAAUACAAAUUGCAGGGCGUAUCGACGGAAAAGAAAUUGCACGUGUCAAAUGGAUCCGAGAAGGUAGGGUGCCCCUACAAACCAUUCGAGCUAAAAUUGAUUACUGUUCCUAUACAGUUGGAAGUAUCUAUGGGGUAUUAGGUAUCAAAAUUUGGAUAUUUGUCGAUGAGGACUAAUAAUCCUUUACUUGACUUAUCUUUAGAUCUAUCAGGUAAUAUACCAAAAAACCAAAAAAGAAAAAACUCUUUUUUCUAUUAAAUCAAAACAAAAAUAAAUAAUUCUACAAGGUUGAAUAAAAAUUCUAUUAAUCCGUUGAUUUAAUAUAAUUGUUAUUCUUAGUGUGUGACUCGUUGGUUUUUUUAGGGUUAGAUUUAAAAACAAAAAUAGACCAGCCCAUAGUGUGAAUUAAUAACCAACUCAUCGUUUCGCAUUAUCUGGAUAUAAAGAACCAGUCGAGAUAUGAUAUAUUGGUCAUAUCAUUGUAGCAACUGAAAUCUGUUUUGGAUAAAAAAAAAAAAACAAAACAAAAUUGAUUAGGAGUUGUGAAACAAUAAAAGUUAAAGUGUGUGGAUAAAUGAAAAGAUGAGAGAAAGAGAGAAAAAAAUACCAAUGAUAUAGAGUUCAAUAUGUAGGGUCUAUGAUUCAUUUUCAUAAAGGAAAAUGUAAUAAAGCAUUAAUACUGAAUUGAUCCCUAAUUAAACAAAAUUGUUCUAUUAAGAACAAA
This is an RNA transcript of Humulus lupulus (European hop), 1732 nucleotides long. It is a transcript of the gene named small ribosomal subunit protein uS3c-like, with no coding region annotated. The record is from RefSeq and is a predicted model, not a curated record. NCBI's taxonomy places the organism in Eukaryota, Viridiplantae, Streptophyta, Magnoliopsida, Rosales, Cannabaceae. The transcript has 3 exons.